GACAGAGGAUGCAAGCGUUAUCCGGAAUGAUUGGGCGUAAAGCGUCUGUAGGUGGCGAUGUAAGUCUAACGUGAAAUCUCGGGGCUCAACCCCGAAAUUGCGUCGGAUACUGCGUUGCUAGAGGAUUGUAGAGGAGAGUGGAAUUCACGGUGUAGCAGUGAAAUGCGUAGAUAUCGUGAGGAAGACCAGUUGCGAAGGCGACUCUCUGGGCAACUCCUGACACUGAGGCACGAAGGCUAGGGGAGCAAACGGG
This 253-nucleotide ribosomal RNA is filed under the name uncultured bacterium. RNAcentral's name for it is "partial 16S ribosomal RNA". It matches the Rfam family "Bacterial small subunit ribosomal RNA", at positions 524 to 776 of the family's 1533-position model. The record is from RNAcentral.